AUGAUGGAGGUUGUUUGCAACAACUGUCUGGGCUUCAGGUCCAUGUUAAAUGCAACAUAGAUGACGCCACUGGAGACCUUAAGAGACCGUAAGAAGCUGAUUGCAGCCCAAGCUGUCACCCAUUGUAAAAAGAUUAUCCUGAAGAAAUGGUACAUGAUUUUUAGGGACCACACGAUACUGGGGGACCAUGAAAUCCAUGAUGGGAUGGACCUGGAGCUUUAUUUUCAAUAG
Molecule: long non-coding RNA, 231 nt
Filed under: Homo sapiens (human)
Lineage: Eukaryota; Metazoa; Chordata; Mammalia; Primates; Hominidae
Description: non-protein coding lnc-CADPS-2:1
Source: RNAcentral